Molecule: unclassified non-coding RNA, 329 nt
Filed under: soil metagenome
Description: partial contains 5.8S ribosomal RNA, internal transcribed spacer 2, and large subunit ribosomal RNA
Rfam family: 5.8S ribosomal RNA (bases 1-120)
Source: RNAcentral
GAUGAAGAACGUAGUGAAAUGCGAUAAGUAAUGUGAAUUGCAGAAUUCAGUGAAUCAUCGAAUCUUUGAACGCACAUUGCGCCCCCUGGUAUUCCGGGGGGCAUGCCUGUUCGAGCGUCAUUACAACCCUCAAGCUCUGCUUGGUAUUGGGCCCCGCCAGUUCUGGCGGGCCCUAAAGUCAGUGGCGGUGCCUUCCGGCUCCGAGCGUAGUAAUUCUUCUCGCUCUGGAGACCCGGUUGUGUGCUUGCCAACAACCCCCAAUUUUUUAAGGUUGACCUCGGAUCAGGUAGGGAUACCAGCUGAACUUAAGCAUAUCAAUAAGCGGAGGA